UAACAUUGAGCUAACUGAACCAACCCUUUGGGAUUGGUUAGAGAUGACUUCAUAAUGGAGGUUUCAAGUUCGAAAUCCCUGCCUAUGACAGCAGGGGGUUGGCCUUUUGGAUCGAGCUCGUUAUGAGCUAACUGAACCAACCCUUUGGGAUUGGUUAGAGAUGACUUCAUAAUGGAGGUUUCAAGUUCGAAAUCCCUGCCUAUGACAGCAGGGGGUUGGCCUUUUGGAUCGAGCUCGUUACACUGGGCUCGCCUAGUGCGGGUUUAUCUCUCCUGUGUGGUUUACAAGCUACUUCACAGGAGCAGGGUAGCGGCUACCGAUUCCCUCACAAAAAAAAAAA
Molecule: long non-coding RNA, 340 nt
Filed under: Capsicum annuum
Lineage: Eukaryota; Viridiplantae; Streptophyta; Magnoliopsida; Solanales; Solanaceae
Description: long non-coding RNA (CANN_LNC020691)
Source: RNAcentral